This 4274-nucleotide long non-coding RNA is filed under the name Brassica napus (rape). Its description in RNAcentral is "long non-coding RNA (BNAP_LNC007007)". Lineage: Eukaryota; Viridiplantae; Streptophyta; Magnoliopsida; Brassicales; Brassicaceae. The record is from RNAcentral.
GAGCGUGCAUCGCUUCGAAGACCUGUUCCACCGCACCGGUCACUAAAGGUCCGAUCCCGUCGCCGGGGAUAAGGGUUACGGUGCGUGGGGCUCCGUCGCCGGGACGAGGCAUGUAGGUGAUGGAUCGGGUGGGUGCGGUGAAUGGAGAAGAUGGAUUUGUUAGGAGGCGGGUGAGGAUUGAAAUGGAUCGCUUAGCCAUUGGUGGUGGAUUUAGAUGAUUUAGGUUUCAGAGCGACGAUUCGACGUACGUUGAAUGUUUCUUGGUCUCGGCAAUUAAACUUAUUAUAAUAAUCUGUGGGACCCAUUAUAUUUAAAAGUAUGUGCCAAAUUAAUCUUUAGAUAAGGAUUAAUCUUCUACAAAUUCUUCACUGUACGCGGGUCCCAUCACCACGUGGAGACCCGCAAUUGGCUCUUUUUUUUUUUUUUUAAGUAAAAAAAAAAUAAAAGUAAUAAAAUAAUAAGAAAACUUACCUUGGUUAUCGAGAUUGAGAGUUUCAGCAUUGCUGAUGCUCUUAGAGCACCCCCAAUGAACUUAUGGGAGUUUACACAGAUUCUCAAAAAAAAAAAAUAUUAAAAUAAUGUACAGUGAUGAGCUUGCUUCUCCCCAACUCUCUCCAAUGAAUCUGUUUCCGGCGAGUUUAUCACUAUUUUGUGGGCUCCACGACUGGCGGUCCGUGAUUGAUUCGAUUAUUAUUAUUUUUUUAGAAAUUAAACAAAAAAAUUAUAAACUUGAAUUCCAAAAAGGGGUUUACUAACGGGAAUGCUCUUAUAACGUUAUGAUCUCUACACAAUUAUCUCCUUUUGCAUAGUUUAGAUCCCUAUGUGGUCAUGAAACCAGCAAAGUCAAGCUCUCUCUAGAUUAUUAAGAAUCUAACUUUUUAAAAGGUUCUUUCGGUUGAGAUUCUUGUAAUUUUGAGAUACCGUAUCUCAAUUUUAUUUUUAUCAUUUGAAAUAAAUGUUAAAUUAAUUCAAUCAAAAUUUUUUGUUUACAUCAUAGUUGCUUCUGUUUUAAGAAAUCAAAACUACUCACUUUACAUCGCAAUUUUAUUAUCUAAAAGAGAACCAAGUCACUAUGGCCUUCUGAUAGAUUGAAUCCUUCCUUGUUUUCAGACUUGAAAUACGGUUUCCGAUUUGCUUGUCAAUGGUCUUAAUAAGACCAGCAGCUGAAGUAUGAGCUUCACCAAACUUUCUACCAUUCCAUUCCGUCCAAAUCGCAUAUAAGGAAGCUUGAAACAGAUAUCUGAAAAGAAAUAGCCCAACCUUACUUCUAUGGAGAUUGGUAAGAAGCAUCACUAUAUCUGAAAAUAAAUAGCCCAACCUUACUUCUGUGGACAGUAGUUUAUGUAUGAGAUUUUUCCAAACUUCUUCAGAGUAGCUAAAAAAUUCUAACAGUUGUUCCGGGCGUUUAAAGUUUGUAAAAUUACGGGAAAUCCAAUCGAAAAUAUCUAAAAUAUAUAUGUAUUUUGAGAAUCCCCCUUGUGUUUGCUGUUAUGUUUAUCUUGUUGACCAUAUGUCCUUUGUAAACAUUCCCUAAUUGAUCCGUUGUCCGUUGAACAUUGUCUUCUCUGUAGGCUCUCAAUGAUUAGCAAUCUAAUGACACUGAAACGUCACCAUACUCUGCACUUGGCUACUUAAUGUUUUGACAAAUAUUAUUCUUUGGUGUUUUUCCUUUUGAAAGUAAAUGGAGAUUAUCCCCUUGCAUCUUUUCAUGUACAAAGAAAAAGGAACAGAACAAUAUUUGAUGAGAUACCGUUGUCUGAUUUACCAAAACAUAUCAAAAUUCAAAAUCAUGGAAAUAUUGAUGGGUUGAGCCAGAUUCAUCCACAUUGGAGCGAAGGAGCAAUUUUUUUUGUAAAAUAAGUAUCUCUCCAUUUGUACCUAUCUAAUCAGUAAUCAAGAUGGAUAAGUUAGGUUUGUUAGCACAAAAGAUCAAAAGAGUAUCAAUACUUUGAAGGAGAGUUUUUUUUAAGCCUAAAUCCGAACAAGAAAAACUCGUCCAACUCUUGUAUUAAACUUCAAAUAUAAUAUACAAAAAGGCUAAUCCAUUUUCUCUUCACUACAACAUUUUAAAUGUAAAUCAAUUAAACACCAAAACCAUGAAAAGGUAAAAACAGAGCCAUUUCUUGGCCUUUGGUUUAACACCGCCGAGUUUCCAGUUCCACUGUGAAGUUGCUUUGCUAGAGCUCCGACCCGUUUUUUAUCCUCUCCAGCUUUACUAAAUAUGACGGUGAACCCCUCCACUGUCACUCACAUACCACUCUCCGAAGUUAAGGUCUUGCUUCACUAUUUGAUGCCAUUAUCAAUUUUCACCGUCAAGAAAACAUAGCAAAAUGUCUCAAAAUCUUGCUUUGUAAACAAAACGGCUUCUCUUUAUUGAAUUUAUUAUAUAACUAUAAUAAGCUCGUGCUUUAACAAGAGAUCGAACAUUGUCGAAUGAAGUAAAUGCAUGAAUAAAAACAAUCAAGAAAAAACAAAUAGCAAACGCAAAACAGAGAAGCACCAAGCCCAAAGCAAGUAGAAGCUCAGUCAAGAGCUUUUAUGACAGCAUCAACAACUUCCUGAGUAGUGCAAUCUCCACCGAGAUCCUUGGUUCGCCAUUUGCCUUCUUGUAUCACUUGUUUCACUGCGAUUUCAAGACGAUCAGCGAACGUAGGAAACUGGAGAUGUUUAAGCAUCAUAGCCGAUGAGAGAAGCAGAGCCAUUGGAUUAGCUUUCUUCUGCUCCACUAUCUUAUCAUUCCCAACAUUCCCUGCUGAUGCUCCUUGCUCGAAUAUCGCAUGUUCUGCACCAACAUUGCCUGCCAAAAAAAACCCCAAACAUGUAUCAUCUUCUAGAAAGAAAAAAAACAACGAAAAAGUUAUAUAACUUUUAACUAAGACAUGUAUGGACAAACCUCCUGGCAUCACUCCAGUGCCACCAGCUAUUCCAGCAGCAGUGUUUGCAAUAAGAUUACCAUACAAAUUAGGCGUCACCUGAAAACAAACAAGACCGACCAAGCCAAUAGUAAUUACCCAUAUAGAAGAAAGAUAAAGCAGUCACUCUUUUUUUUUUUUUUGCUUAUUCAAGUCGCAUACCAUGACAUCAAACUGCUCAGGCUUAGCCACAAGCUGCAUACAACAAUUGUCUACGAUUAUUUCGUUAUACGUAAUCCCAGGAUAAGCUUUAGCAACCUCUCUGCAAGAUUCAAGGAAGAGCCCAUCCGCUAGCUUCAUAAUGUUGGCUUUAUGAACAGCAGUCACUUUCUUCCUGUUGUUCAGGUACGCAUACUCAAAUGCGUACCUCGCUAUCCUCUCAGAACAAUACUUAGUUAUCACCUACAUAUAAAACAAAAAAAAAAAAAUCAAAACUUCUAAAUUUUUUUAUUAAGCUUCUGAAGAAUUCAAUUUUUUUUAUUAACCCGGACUAUCUGAACCGAGAUCCAACUAAUAUCCAUGAGAAUACCAAUAAAUAGUCCGAAGACUCUAAAACAUGGUCCUAUAUUCGUGUACCAAUCUGUAAUAUCGGACCAUGUUUUAGAGUCUCUGGACAUGACGAAUAUGGAACCAUGUUUUAGAGUCUAAAUAAAAGUAAAAAAUAGUCAGGAGACUCUAAAACAUGGUAAUCAGUCCGGAGACUCUAAAACAUGGUAAAAAUUCAACACAGACUUACUCUUACCCUUAGGCUACUACCGUUUGGUUCAAAAUAAUUCAAUUUGCAAACGAUUCCCAAUAAAAGAUGUGAAACUUUGAUACCUUAAGACUCUCAACAACACCAGGAACAACCUCGUGCUCGAGACCCGCGUACUCUCCUUCCGUGUUCUCCCUAAUCACAACGAUAUCCACGUUCUCGUGCCUCGUCACUAACCCAGGGACGUUGAUGCAGUUGACGAGGGAAGCAAAGAUGUCGAGCUCUUUCCUCAACUGCAUGUUCAAUGAGCUGACACCUCCACCAACAGGAGUCGCUAAGCCGCCUUUCAGACAAACCUUGUUCCUCUUCACGGAUUCCAUCACUUCCUCGGGGACUUUCCUCAUGUGUCCACGAACCUCGUACCUCUCGAAAUGGACUGGAGCGUGCAUCGCUUCGAAGACCUGUUCCACCGCACCGGUCACUAAAGGUCCGAUCCCGUCGCCGGGGAUAAGGGUUACGGUGCGUGGGGCUCCGUCGCCGGGACGAGGCAUGUAGGUGAUGGAUCGGGUGGGUGCGGUGAAUGGAGAAGAUGGAUUUGUUAGGAGGCGGGUGAGGAUUGAAAUGGAUCGCUUAGCCAUUGGUGGUGGAUUUAGAUGAUUUAGGUUUCA